ACGCCCGAAUGUGUUUGUCCCAAGUGGUCUCCUCGCGCUAACCCCGUAGCGUGUGGUUUUAAGCGGGCGCCAUGCCCGCUUUUUUUU
RNAcentral lists this non-coding RNA (87 nucleotides) under Robbsia andropogonis. Lineage: Bacteria; Pseudomonadati; Pseudomonadota; Betaproteobacteria; Burkholderiales; Burkholderiaceae. The record is from Rfam by way of RNAcentral.